Long non-coding RNA from Stegodyphus dumicola, 479 nucleotides. The record is from RefSeq and is a predicted model, not a curated record. Lineage: Eukaryota; Metazoa; Arthropoda; Arachnida; Araneae; Eresidae.
UUGGCAACCCAUCUCCAAAGUUAGCUUUUUGUUCCGUUUGCCGCUUUAGUCUUAUUCUGGCAUCCACGUCGAAAGCUGUGUUAUCGUUUACGAAAACCCUCUUCUGGAUAACAAAACCCAACGUUUACGAAAAGCUCCGUUUCUCGAUUUAGAUCCAGUAUGUGGUGAUUUAAAAUGGGUUUAUCAAGCAUCGAAGAAAAUAAGACGACUUGCUGCCUUAGUCCGAAGAUCUACCAACCAGCAUCUGAAGACAUGGACGAUCUUCUGGAAUGCCCCCGGAAAAAAAAAAUGUUCUCUUCGUCGAGUUUCUACGAGGAGCCGAAUGCCAUUUAUCCCACAGUCGAAGAGCAAGUGCGAUUGUGCCGCAAAAUCGCCGAAUCACUUUCAGAUGAUUGCAACAUGAAAUCUAAGGGAGCAAAUAUGUUUUUCAAGCGAGUCAAGAAAGCCGAGAAGUGGAUUGUAGCCGAAUGUAAGUUAAG